This 623-nucleotide unclassified non-coding RNA is filed under the name Hevea brasiliensis (rubber tree). The record is from RNAcentral. Lineage: Eukaryota; Viridiplantae; Streptophyta; Magnoliopsida; Malpighiales; Euphorbiaceae.
CCGACUUCAAAUUUUUGGGAUAAAUACUUAGUUGAGUUGAGUUGAGUUAGUUAUUCAGUCAAUAGGGGUAGGCCUAUUGGAACUCUAAAUCAUGGUUUUUCUUUUUAUUUUUUCAUGUGGUCUUUAUAAACUUCCUUUCAAAACCAACCUAAUUCUAUUUUUUGCUUACACCUAAUUCUUGCGACAAGUUAAUAAACCACUAUUCAUAUUGCACAUCAUUCCUUGCCUUUUUCUGAAGCUGCAGUCAGAACGCACACUAGAUUGUUUUGUCUAAAUUCCUUACCAUUAUUUUAAAACCUGACCUUAUCCUUGAAAUGAUCAAUUGCAGACAGUUUUAUGGGUGUUUCUUAUUCACGUGGCAGUGUUUGUUUUGAAGUGUGACAUGUUUUGCUUGCAUAUUUAACCAACGGUAUAAGGACAAUAUGCACUAAUUUGCAUUAAUGUAUGUUUGCAGUUUUCUUUUUGGAAUCAUAGCAAUUUAUCUUUGCUUUCAGGUUUUGGAGGAGAUUAGGCUUGGGCUAGAAAUAAAUGACUAUGGGAUGCAGCAGAGGCGAAUUGCUCACAUGCGAUUCUUAGGAGAGCUAUACAACUAUGAACUUGUGGAUUCAUCUGUAAUUUUUGAG